This is a non-coding RNA of Vicia faba (fava bean), 202 nucleotides long. Lineage: Eukaryota; Viridiplantae; Streptophyta; Magnoliopsida; Fabales; Fabaceae. The record is from the annotation of a GenBank genome assembly.
CAAGUUCCAAAUAUUACAAAAUCACAUAAAUACAAGUUUGGUUACUAUUACAUCAUUUGACACUAUUACAUUACAUCAACAGGAUGCAUUACAAAUUUCACAAAAAAAACACUAUCCUAAACCUAUGCGUCCUAAACUAAUGUCGUUCAUCUUCAAUCUUCAUGCUAUUGUAUCUUCAACCCUUGCUCACUUUACAAGCUAG